GUGGGGAAUCUUGCACAAUGGGGGAAACCCUGAUGCAGCGACGCCGCGUGAGUGACGAAGCCCUUCGGGGUGUAAAGCUCUUUCGACAGGAACGAUAAUGACGGUACCUGGAGAAGAAGCUGCGGCUAACUACGUGCCAGCAGCCGCGGUAAUACGUAGGCAGCAAACGUUGUUCGGAGUUACUGGGCGUAAAGAGUACGUAGGCGGUUUGCCAAGUCUAGUGUGAAAUCUCCCGGCUUAACUGGGAGGGUGCGCCGGAUACUGGCGAGCUUGAGUGUGGGAGAGGGAAGCAGAAUUCCUGGUGUAGCGGUGAAAUGCGUAGAUAUCAGGAGGAAUACCUGUGGUGAAGACGGCUUCCUGGACCACAACUGACGCUGAGGUACGAAAGCGUGGGGAGCAAACAGGAUUAGAUACCCCAGUAGUCC
Molecule: ribosomal RNA, 425 nt
Filed under: uncultured bacterium
Lineage: Bacteria
Description: bacterial SSU rRNA
Rfam family: Bacterial small subunit ribosomal RNA
Source: RNAcentral